GAUGAACGCUGGCGGCGUGCCUAAUACAUGCAAGUCGAGCGAACAGACGAGGAGCUUGCACCUCUGACGUCAGCGGCGGACGGGUGAGUAACACGUGGAUAACCUACCUAUAAGACUGGGAUAACUUCGGGAAACCGGAGCUAACACCGGAUAAUAUAUUGAACCGCAUGGUUCAAUAGUGAAAGACGGUUUUGCUGUCACUUAUAGAUGGAUCCGCGCCGCAUUAGCUAGUUGGUAAGGUAACGGCUUACCAAGGCGACGCUGCGUAGCCGACCUGAGAGGGUCAUCGACCCCCCUAGACCGGCGCCACCGCCCCCACUCCUACGAGAGGCAGCCGUCGCGACUCUUCCGCCAUGGGCGACAGCCUGACGGAGCAACGCCGCGUGAGUGAUGGCGGUCUUCGGCUCGUAAGACUCUGUUAUUAGGAGAGAACAAAUGUGUAAGUAACUAUGCACGUCUUGACGGUACCUAAUCAGAAAGCCACGGCUAACUACGGG
This 497-nucleotide ribosomal RNA is filed under the name uncultured bacterium. RNAcentral's name for it is "partial 16S ribosomal RNA". It matches the Rfam family "Bacterial small subunit ribosomal RNA", at positions 28 to 507 of the family's 1533-position model. The record is from RNAcentral.